Molecule: ribosomal RNA, 494 nt
Filed under: uncultured bacterium
Lineage: Bacteria
Description: partial 16S ribosomal RNA
Rfam family: Bacterial small subunit ribosomal RNA
Source: RNAcentral
GACGAACGCUGGCGGCGUGCUUAACACAUGCAAGUCGAACGGUGAAGCGCCUUCCUUUUUGGUGGGUGUUGAUGAGUGGCGAACUGGUUAGUAACACGUGAGUAACCUGCCCCCUUCUUCUGGAUAACCGCAUGACAGUGUGGCUAAUACGUGAUAUUCUGGGUCUGUCGCAUGAUGGGUCUGGGACAGAUUUUGUUUCGGUUGGGGAUGGGGUCGCGCCCUAUCAGCUUGUUGGUGGGGUGAUGGCCUACCAAGGCGGUGACGGGUAGCCGGCCUGAGAGGGUGGACGACAAUACUGGGACUGAGACACCGACAAGACUACGACGGGAGGCAGCAGUGGAGAAUAUGGAACGAUGGGAGGAAGGCUGAUGCAGCGACGCGGCGUGAGGGAUGGAGGCCGGAGGGUUGUGAACUUCUUUCGGCAGUGAAGCAGGCCGGCCUUGUCUGUGGGUGGGUUGACGGUAGCUGGAUAAGAAGCGCCGGCUAACUACGUG